AAUUAUAUAAGGGAGGUCUUGCCUGCCCAGUGACUAGUUAAACGGCCGCGGUAUUUUGACCGUGCGAAGGUAGCGCAAUCACUUGUCUUUUAAAUGAAGACCUGUAUGAAUGGUGGAACGAGGGCUUAACUGUCUCCCCUUUCAAGUCAAUGAAAUUGAUCUGCCCGUGCAGAAGCGGACAUAUAAAUACAAGACGAGAAGACCCUUUGGAGCUUAAGAUAAAAGAUCAACUAUGUCAAGAACUAAAAGUUAAACUAAAUAGUAACUGAUCCUUAUCUUCGGUUGGGGCGACCGCGGGAGAAAACAAAGCUCCCGCGCGGACUGGGAUACCCCCUAAAGCCAAGAAAGACAUUUCUAAGCCGCAGAACAUCUGACCAAUAAGAUCCGGCUACAUGCCGACCAACGGACCAAGUUACCCUAGGGAUAACAGCGCAAUCCCCUUUCAGAGUCCAUAUCGACAAGGGGGUUUACGACCUCGAUGUUGGAUCAGGACAUCCUAAUGGUGCAGCCGCUAUUAAGGGUUCGUUUGUUCAACGAUUAAAGUCCUACGUGAUCUGAGUUCCAGACCGGA
Molecule: ribosomal RNA, 571 nt
Filed under: Heteropneustes fossilis (stinging catfish)
Lineage: Eukaryota; Metazoa; Chordata; Actinopteri; Siluriformes; Heteropneustidae
Description: partial small subunit ribosomal RNA
Rfam family: Bacterial large subunit ribosomal RNA
Source: RNAcentral